Molecule: long non-coding RNA, 4641 nt
Organism: Gallus gallus (chicken)
Lineage: Eukaryota; Metazoa; Chordata; Aves; Galliformes; Phasianidae
Source: Ensembl
UGUGUCACGCUCACGCGGGCCGUCCGUGAGGACGGCGUGCAGACGUCGCGCGGCCGCCAUUACCUGCCCGUCCCGGCCCGGCACGUGCGCUCGGCUCCGUCCCGCAGCCGGAAUGGGGGCGACGGCCGCGCGCUCGGCGCCGCCGCGGACAUUUUGUGGCGCUGCGCUGCGGGCGGGCGGCCGCCGACGGCACAUCCCGGAACCCGCCCUCGUAAAAUGGAUCGCCGAGUCAUCGCCGGCCGCCCGUCUGCCUGCCUGCAGCACGCUGGCUUUUCUGCAGGAAGCCGGAAAGUACCGCAAUGGGCAUGUCCCGGUGCCUCCCAGCCGGGCGGGAGGAGACUCGAUAGCCGAGCGCGUGUAAAUCGCGGCGCGGCCCCGCAGGAAACGGCCCCGCCGUCAGCGGGCGUGGGGGGCCGCGCUGCUCGUGGCCGCCGCGAGGUUAAUGAGGUACCGUGCAGCUACUGGGUUCAGCGGGCAGCCGGAAAGCGCCGCGCUGAAAAGCCCGGAGUUUUAGGAAUAUCAUAAAGAGAUCGUUUUUGUGAUUCCAAGCCAGGCCGAGUUGUUCUGAUGUCCGCAGCAGCUGGAAGAGAAAACCAUACAACGGCUGAUGGAGUUGGCUGCAGCAAGAAAAUCACAUCUCAGUUCCCAGGAUUUCAGAAAGAUGGGCCUCCUCCGAUAGUUGCAAAUCUCUGCAAAACGUUCUGGUGCUGCUGUGCACUGGUUUGAUCAGAUCUUGGCGAUUUCCUCCUGCGUGCACUCCAUGGCUCUGCUCUUGAGGAUGGAUGAUGCUACCCGGAACUGUGUCUGAUUCAGUGUGCUGAAGGAGGAGAGAAGGGGGAUGCGGAGUUGAUCUUCAAAACUGGCCCGCGUAUUUUGGGUCUGAGCCGUUGGCAGCACUGCUGUGCUGAUUCCCCUUCGUCUAAGCGUUCCUGACCGAUCCGUGCCUUGCCCGGAGCGGAAAGGUAAAGAGAGGUCCUUCCGUUUGUGUCGGAGAUGGCUUCUUUCCUGGGCUGGCUUUCUUUGCGGCGUAGGUACGCCGAACCCUGCCGCUUUCCAGUGCCCUUUUUCAGAAGGUUACGCUUCUCUGUGAAAGCGGUAGGUGGCAAGAAAAGGAGAUGGUGAAGCGCUGGCAACACCCAGUGGGUUCGUUAGCUGCUCUUUGCCAUUCGGCCUGAAGGGGCCCGUUCGAAUCACCUGAAAGGUCUCCAGCAGGGAUUCUUCUGCUCGGAACUGAACACCGGUGAACACAAAAUGCAUACAUACAUACAAAAGAAUGCUGUGCUCAGGCUGCCUUUAAAACGCACGACUACGUAGAAGCUCCACGGGGAUCUGCAGGGAUAUGCAAACGUGACUCCUUUUACAAAAGCCACGGUGCUUUCUUCUCACCUCCGUGCAGAUGCCACUUCAUUUCUGCCGUGGGUUCUAAUAAGGCCUCUGGCAGGUGGGCAAAACGUUACGCUCUACCGUUGCCUUUCUUGGGAAAUCCCCUGAAAAUUCUCAAUAUCACAAAUGAAAGAUUUAUUUUGCCCUAAACGACAUUAUUCCGAUUAAAUCCAUAGAGGCUACAGUGAAUAAGCAACAUACAGUCUCGUCGUUGCACCGAGAAAGCGCCGGCAGGGUACAGCGCACGCGCCUGCAUAUUCUAAUCGGCUCUGUGAGUGGGCCGUCUAAGGCAGCAGAUGCAUUAACUGUUGCCUUUAAUUAAUACCCGCGCUAAUGACCGCUAGAGAGUGCUCUUGUCCCUGUUGGUGAGCGCUGCCGCAUUUUCGUCCUCUGAGGAAAUGGGACAGCCGAUUCCAGCGCCGUAGGGAUGAGAGUGAAUUGGUAAGGAGGCGAACCCCAUCAGUUGUUUAAGUCAGGCACGGCGCCUGGCCGUGUGUGUCCCACUCGGGUAUGUUCCCUCUAACUGGGGGCUGCCUAAACCAGGCAGUAUCUUCUGCCCUACGUCUUCAAUACGCUGUGCUUUUUGCACAAAAAUAGCAAAAGAGGACGAUAGCAAAGGCUUUAAUUCAGCCGAGCUGCUGGUGUUGAAGUUAAGAAGCACCUACUGAAAUGCUUUGCAUUUGGUACAAAAGCCAGUCAUUCUCUUCCGAACAUAACGUGACUUUUCAUGUUUGGUGCAGUCAGGGUUUUGCAGCCAGGUUUUUCCUAAGGCUUUUCAGUCUCGUGUGCUGCCCCGUCUUUGGAAACGCCUUGUUUCCAAGUCCCGGAGCUCUCACUUGUGUUGGGCUGCUCUCUGUCGCACACUUUGCUGUAGUGCACGUCUCUCGGCAGCUUCACUGCUUUCUGGGCACACUGAGCUGGGAGUUCCACCUGCCAUGCAGCUGACGCCCCGAGCUGCUGGGAACGUCUCCCUUUGGCCAGUUCAGCUUCUAUCCAUCUUGUUUAUAAAGUGCCACUGAGAUUCAUAGCAGAGCACCGGUGUACCAUGAGAGCACCACGGCCCGCCUGGCUUCCUGGCACGGAAAUACAGCCAGCUGUGAUUCACUAUGCAGGUGAGGCACUUGGCUGAGCUCAGUGUGAUGCUGUGAUGCUGCUGUAUCUGUAUGCACAUUGCCAGUGCCCCGUGCGAUGUGUGCUGAAACCACAACAGCUUCCAAGCAGACCACCCACUGCACUGCGCAGCAAUGCGUUUUACAUAUCUGACAGACCUUUGAGUUGUUUCCUUUUUUAUCGUAUUCUAUUUCUUCUAAAUCGCGUUCCUCCGAAUCUGGCAUUUAUAGAACAAUAGGUGCAAAUAAUGGUUCGGUUCUCUGUGUGCUCACGCUUGCUGACAAGAAACCGUCAAGAUUAGAGGAGGGAGUUUUGUCUCUGUAUAAACUGAAGUGGAUGAGAUUACUCGUGCCGCAGCUCACGCUGUGCACUUCUGAAUGAGGCAGCCAGCUCCUGGCUGAUGCUUUUUCUUGCCCUCAAAAUGAAAUGAGGUAGCCCUGAGAGUGCCGCGAAAGCCGCCGUACUCCUGAAUUAGUCCAAACCGCAGCUGUGUCAUUCUGGAGCUGGGAGCCUGGGGCAUUCCUACGCAGCACUGCUGCCAUCCAACAUGUCAGAGAGGUGAAGACAGAGCCAUUCUUACCACGGGUCCUGGGACAGCGCUGGGAUGCCGCUGUCAGAAGCAUCCGCAUCUCUCCAAGGGAUGGCAGCGCCGCGCUGCUCUGCCAUGUUACGGCUGCCCUGGCAGACAUGAUGCCGCUCCAAAAUGUGCAUUCCCUGCAGUUGGUACAGUUCCUUCUUAACAGUUUAAGUUCUGGUUGGUUGAAAUGCAUUUCGUAGACUUUCGUAAUGAUGUGUUUUGAUUAAAAAUGCGGGUGUUUUAAGGCAGAGGGAUCGGAAAAGAGCAUAAUUUCUGUGUGCUUUGCAGGGCAAACAGGGCGCAUUCCUCUGUAUUUGAUGUGAUUUUCAGGCAGCUCUGAAAGGUCUCACGAGCAUAUGCUACAGUCCCCUUGAGACUCCGGUGAGAUCUUCUCAGUGAGACCUUCUCAGCUGUAUCUGGCAUCACUGGUGCCAAGAGCUGCCACUGACCAGCAGGUACAAGAGCACAUCAAUGCUUAGGAUCGCAGCUCUGGUUAGCAAAACUUACCUGGACACCCAUCAGAAGCAAGCAGAUUAACGGAACAGAGCCUGCUGGUGACUCAGGGGAUCUUAAAGCACUUGGAAUCCACACAUCAAAUUAAUCAUAAUUAAUCUUAUAUAUGUAGGUUGCUCCAAAAGUAAUGCUUCCUAUUCAUUUCCACCGAAACAUCAGAUAUAAAGGGCACAGUAACACUGUUUGAUAGAAGAAAUUCUCAGUUACAGAACACAUUUUUUUUCGGCAUAGUAGCUACCAUUAGCUAGGCAUCUGUCACACAGCAACAACACGGGUUGGAAUAUGGGUGGGAAGGUGCAACCCCUACUGCUGUAUCACCAGCGUCCAUUCUGAUGCCAAGGGCCAAUAUCACAAAUCAGGAGGCAUUACUUCUGGAGCAGCCCUUGCACAAAGUGGCAUGUUGGGCGCGUUGUGGUGCAUCGCCCUUCUCCCUUCAGCCACUAUCCCUGCUGGCUAUCAGUGUGUAGCGCAGUUCUGAUCAGAUUGUUAAGGAGUGGAAGAAGAGAGCAGCUCAAAAUGAGCCACAGCAGCGUGCCAUUUACUGAAUGUUAGAGACCUCAAGAUCUGGGGAGCGGUGUUAGAAUCACGAACCCUCAGCAAGUCCUCCUUUUCCCAUACAUAAAUUUUUCCAGUCCAAAAAACAGAAUCUGGUGUGGGUUUGUUUUCUUUUUUUCCAUCAUCUGUGGGUGUCUGGUAGUCUAUUCAAAGAGUGUAACCUAGCAAUAAGUAUCUCAGCAUGCACUGUGAGUAUCCAGGAAUCCUUAGUAGGGACCAAGACGUGUGUAGAAUUAUUUGUUUGUUUGUUUGUUUGUUUGUUUGUUUAUUUGUUUACAACCAGUGGAUCCAAAAGACCUGGAAGCUUCCCAGCCCUGGCCCAUGUAUCUGUAGUCAUCCUUCAUGUGCUCAGCCAGUCCUGGGUGUUCCAGGCACAUCUGUAAAACCCUUCCCCGAGCGCUCAGUAAAUCCAUGUGUGUACGCAAUGAUCACCGUGCAACUGCUGCAUGACAUGUAUGCAUUUAUCCGAAACGUCAUCUGGUAGAAAUAUGGCAGCCUCAUAU